GAAAAGGUGUACUCAGUGGAGAUGAUGACAAUGACAUUUCUUUCCUUCUAAAUUAUGAUGAUCUGAUGCUAAGGUAUCCUCAUGUUGAAAAAGAUCACUUGGUAAAGUUGCUUAAACAACUACUGCUGAAUACGGGUCCUCCUAUGCAAUGUGGUGGGGGAGAUGCCCCUGGUGCUGCUGAUGUCCCCACGCUACUUGGAUCUGGACCUUUUUCUCUUUUGACUUGUGAGCGAAAUAGAGUCAAGAAGCAAGCACAAUCCCUUCCUUCAUACCUCCGUUGGCCACACAUGCCUGCUAAUCAGGUGCAUGGUCUAACUUUAAGAGAGAUCGCAGGCGGUUUCCCAAA
RNAcentral lists this unclassified non-coding RNA (346 nucleotides) under Hevea brasiliensis (rubber tree). The record is from RNAcentral. Lineage: Eukaryota; Viridiplantae; Streptophyta; Magnoliopsida; Malpighiales; Euphorbiaceae.